CUACGGGCCGCUGCAGUCGCGGAACUUUUACAAUGCACGCAAGUGUGAUAAAGCGAACCAAAGUGCUUAUCAUUUAGAUAAGCUUUUUCUCUACGUAAAAACUAGGGAGAAUAAGGACUGGGAAAGACUGGUGCCAGCCGCCGCGGUAAUACCAGCAGUUCAAGUUGCAUCCAUUUUUAUUGGGUCUAAAACAUCCGUAGCUUGGUUCUUAAGUCUCUUGUGAAAUCUCACGUCUCAAGCGUGGUGAAGUGCAGGAGAUACUGAGUACCUAGAGAUCGGUAGACGUAAGCAGUACGGGACGGGUAACGGUCAAAUGUGUUAAUCCGUCUUGGACUAACAAUCAGCGAAGGCAGCUUACGAGGACGAAUCUGACAGUGAGGGAUGAAGGCCAGGGGCGCAAAACGGAUUAGAUUACCCCAGUAGUC
RNAcentral lists this ribosomal RNA (425 nucleotides) under uncultured archaeon. Its description in RNAcentral is "partial 16S ribosomal RNA". It matches the Rfam family "Archaeal small subunit ribosomal RNA", at positions 323 to 746 of the family's 1478-position model. The record is from RNAcentral.